This is a long non-coding RNA of Hipposideros armiger (great roundleaf bat), 1254 nucleotides long. RefSeq lists it as uncharacterized. The record is from RefSeq and is a predicted model, not a curated record. The transcript is spliced from 3 exons. Lineage: Eukaryota; Metazoa; Chordata; Mammalia; Chiroptera; Hipposideridae.
CAUAAGCCCAGUGGGAAGAAGGGGACCUCCACUCUGUGGGGAGUGGAAAGGGGUAGGAGCCACUGACUGGAGACCCCUCCCUGCCUGCCUUCAGCAGUCUGGGAAGGCCACCUCUUAACUGGGUCCUCCAGAGUGGGACCUGGUGAGGCCUGGGCUCAGCCCUCAUGUGUCCCUGUAUGUGGGAGCUGGUGGUAUUGCAGCCAUCUCCUGUCAAGUGUGAGGAAACUGAAGUCUGAAGAGGUGAAGGAACUGGUCUGCGGUCACAGGGCUGGUAAAUGACAGAGAAAGGUUCUGUGGGACAAACACAUCAGCUCCCAGGCCAGGGUGGCCUUCCAGGGCCUGGAGAGUUAUCCCAGCCACGUCCAUGUCAGGCUGGGACAUGGAGCUCCAGGCAGGCUGUAUGGAUCUGGGGCUGGUUCUUAACAGUGAGGCAUCCAAGUACCCUUGGGAAAUUUCAAGAGUUUUGCAAAAAAGUGAAAGCAGUGCCAUCUGAUUCCUUCUGAGGAUAAAUAUCCUGAUGCAUUAUUAAAAAGUGAAGGAAGUCAGGGCUUAGCUAAAGGAGUCCCACAUCUCUGUGAAUAUUUCUAACAACUAGGGCUUACUUUGGUGGAGAGAACUUUCUUGUGUUGCAUGAAAAGCAAGCAGAAAGCUCGAAUUCCACUCACAUAGAGCAGCUCUUGGUGAAGAGAGGCCUGCAUUUCUGCGCUGGGAUACAGGCUCAGAGAUAGCUCCUCACUGCUCAGAUGCUAUUUUUAAAGUUGUGAAACUCAAUAUAUCAGUGGGGAGCAGUCAGGGGGGAGGGCUGGAGGUAGAGUGGCUGAGGCCUCCAGGCCCCUGAGGGAGACUCACUUUCCUGGGAAGAUAAAGCCACUCGUUUGGCUCUUGGCUGCCAUUCCCAGAUCUUUCUUUUGAGCCCUGAAAAUAAAUCCCAGGCCUGGUAUUCAGGGCCCAUGGUGGGGGCCACCGGUCAGAAGAGAAUUUAAUAAUUUACUAUGAUUCUCAUUUCAACCCUUUCUUUGGUUUAAUUAAUGCCGUGUCUGGCAGCUGAAGGAGAAUGCAUCUGAUAAAGUUAGUCUAUCAGGACAUGAAAAAUUGAGGUCGCGAAACGGCCUGGCCCACUGUCACAAAUCUAACAGGAAGUCAGCCUCUGCUUCCCCGGAAACACCUGUCAAGGAAACCUGACGUACACCAAUCACAAUCCUCCAACUCAGCUUCAGCUUGUUUACCUCACCUUAGAAAAUAGGACCUGCCCAC